Long non-coding RNA from Erigeron canadensis, 540 nucleotides. RefSeq lists it as uncharacterized. NCBI's taxonomy places the organism in Eukaryota, Viridiplantae, Streptophyta, Magnoliopsida, Asterales, Asteraceae. The transcript is spliced from 2 exons. The record is from RefSeq and is a predicted model, not a curated record.
AUCUUCACACUAAUUUUAAAUGCUUAUUUGAAGUUUCGUUUCUGAAAGAAUCGCAUAGUGUUGAGGAUGCUGGGGGCAGACUAGUAGAAUUCAUUCUUCAGGCGAGGAUUAUUGAAAAUCAGUGCAUGAUUUUCCGAAUUGAAGGCCUUGAGAUUUAAAAGAGGUUUUUACCUCCUCUAGUUAGAGGGAAUACAUUUAGAGUUCAACUUCAAGAGAACUGGUGCAAUGAAUUUUGUGGCUUCUUUAUGUGUGUGGUUUCUCGAUAUUGCCCGCGUGAUGUUUUAAUAACAAUGGAACAGGUUAUGAGAGGUGCGACGGUUAAUUAUACCGAUUCUCAGUACGAUGACGUGGCUUGGAAUGGGAGCAUUGGUGGCUGUAAAAUAACAUGGGAGCGAUGUGAUGAUGAGAAUGAGAGUAUUGAUGAUGAAGAUUGGAAUGAGAGUGAGGCUGGCUGUGAAAGAACAUGGUUGGGAUAUGUUCCGUUUGGUUUAUUGAAGCACACUUUAUGGUGGAAUGAAACAUACCCUGCCAUUUCAUUUU